This 497-nucleotide ribosomal RNA is filed under the name uncultured bacterium. Its description in RNAcentral is "partial 16S ribosomal RNA". It matches the Rfam family "Bacterial small subunit ribosomal RNA", at positions 28 to 507 of the family's 1533-position model. The record is from RNAcentral.
GAUGAACGCUGGCGGCGUGCCUAAUACAUGCAAGUCGAGCGAACAGACGAGGAGCUUGCUCCUCUGACGUUAGCGGCGGACGGGUGAGUAACACGUGGAUAACCUACCUAUAAGACUGGGAUAACUUCGGGAAACCGGAGCUAAUACCGGAUAAUAUUUUGAACCGCAUGGUUCAAUAGUGAAAGACGGUUUUGCUUUCACUUAUAGAUGGAUCCGCGCCGCAUUAGCUACUUGGUAAGGUAACGGCUUAUCAAGGCGACAAUGCGUGGCCGACCUGGGAGGGUGGUCGGCCACACUGGAACUGAAACACGGUCCAGACUCCUACGGGAGGCAGCAGUAGGGAAUCUUCCGCAAUGGGCGAAAGCCUGACGGAGCAACGCCGCGUGAGUGAUGAAGGUCUUCGGAUCGUAAAACUCUGUUAUUAGGGAAGAACAAAUGUGUAAGUAACUAUGCACGUCUUGACGGUACCUAAUCAGAAAGCCACGGCUAACUACGUG